UCUAAAAUGGCAGAAUUAGAUGCAUAAAAUUUAGAAUUUUAAUAUGAAAAUAAAAUCUUUUAGAA
Molecule: transfer RNA, 65 nt
Filed under: Spongiocaris panglao
Lineage: Eukaryota; Metazoa; Arthropoda; Malacostraca; Decapoda; Spongicolidae
Description: tRNA-Leu
Source: RNAcentral